Molecule: unclassified non-coding RNA, 221 nt
Filed under: Hevea brasiliensis (rubber tree)
Lineage: Eukaryota; Viridiplantae; Streptophyta; Magnoliopsida; Malpighiales; Euphorbiaceae
Source: RNAcentral
UCAAGGGGCAUGUUGAAUCGGUGGCAAGAACCAAGGGACUUGAUAUUGAUCUUGAUGAACACUACUACUCCGUUUGAGAAGAUGCCUCUGUGGUUGUUGAGUUUUGAUCGAGAAGAGUGAAACCCAGUUAAUAAAACUUAGGAUGCAUCCUACAAAAAGGGGGAAAAAAUCAUCCUUGAAGAUUUUGCAGGAUGCACGGGUUUGGUAAGAAACAUAUGAGA